CCUACUCUAGGGAGUGGAAGGUCAGGUCUCAUGUGAAAAGGAAGGUAAUCUGGACCAGUCAUAAAAUGUUAUGCUGAAAGCCUUAGGAUAAGUAGAUCACUCCUAAUACCUCUUUUCCUCUCCUAAUCUCUCUUGCAGUAACCUUAGCCAGUACUUGUCUGAGUUACUGAGUUUUAAGCCAGAUGUUAAUUCUACAUUUAGAGUAAAUGUUAUCUGAGAAGAAAUUCUUGCAGCUAGCAGCCAUGAGCUUGUGGGAGGAAACGGAGCUGGUGUUUACUGUCUGUUUUCUUUUUCCUUGCUUGAAGACAAAGGACAGAAAGUGCUACCAUCACUCAUAAGUAACGCUGCAUUUCAGAAAUAUCCUGUGGAAAUCUUAUCAUCAUCCAGACCAACAAUACUGCAGCCCAAGAAGAAGUGGUACUGAUGUGAUGUGGUGGUACAGAAUUGGAACACAAGGAAGAUAGAUGAGCAAGAUCAGUUUACUGCAUUUCUCCAGUCCCUCCCAAAGACCCAUAACAUACGCCAUCAGAAGGAUAAGAGAUGCCUUUAGAGAAAACAAGAACAUUGCGGAUUCUGAAAAAAUAGAAGAACUACUGAAUAAAGCCAAAGCAAACCUCCAGAUUAUUCAACGGCAGGUAUGUUUUUCUCAUUUUUAUAGGAGUUGUCCAUUGCUUAUUUAAGUGCUUUAUGCCACCAGAGAUGGAAAAAAAAAAAGAUCCUUGCUUAAAACAUAUCUAGGUGAAUAUCAGUUUUUGUCUGACUUUAUUUGUCCUUCCAUCAUAGGUUCAGAAGGGUGACACUGACACUCACUCUAAAUAACCUCACUUUCUUCAGUGUUCAUUUUUCCCCAUCUCCAGACACAGUGUUGGAAUAGUAACAGAACAAGAAAAUCCUGAAGUGAAUUAAGUAAAUGCUGGCUAAAUGGCAAUAGGUUUUUCUUUGGAAAAUUUACAUCACUGGCAAUAUUUUCCUUCAACCUUGUCUAAGUAGCAUUUAUAGCAUCUCUGUUCCUUCCAAGAGGUACCAUGUUACUAAGAAAUGAAGUAGACUUGGUUGAACUUGAGAUACUUUUUAAUUUCUCAUUUAUAGCUGCUGUGUAUUUAAAGUGACCGCUAAAAAUUGGAAAAAAAGCAGGUUUCUAUGCCUGAACUCUCUAUGGGCACUUGCAGUGCUUAAGCUGCUCCUCCUUGCAAAAUCUGCACUUGCUGACACCAGUCAGAGCUCAGUAGUACUUUUAUUAAACACUGAACAACUAUGUGCACCUGCUCCUCAAUGGUUUAGUAAGGCUCUUUAAACAACCAGCAGGUUAGUUAGAUGGAUUCUUAUUUUAGUAGGGUGCUGGGCCCUUUGAUUUGACAAUUAAGUAUGGAUACUUAGGUGCAAGUUAAUUUUUUUUUAUUUUCUUCUCCCAGGAUCAGGUGUUGUUUUGUGCCACCAUAGUUUUGAUAUCUUUUUUUUAACCCAAACACUGCUAUUUUUUUUUUUUUAAGUAUUUCUCAAAGAAGCAAUUUGGAUUGGAUUCUUCCAAUGCAAUUAUAUUUGAAUGCUGGGGUGUUUUUUCUCAGAUCUGUAGGUGAUAAUUGACAUUUUCAGCUCUUCUAAUUCUUGCUUAAGGUAAAGUCUUGCUAAAUAAAAACUUUUCAGCUCUUUUUCUCA
Molecule: long non-coding RNA, 1656 nt
Filed under: Cyanistes caeruleus (blue tit)
Lineage: Eukaryota; Metazoa; Chordata; Aves; Passeriformes; Paridae
Description: lncRNA (ENSCCEG00000015397.1)
Source: RNAcentral